Molecule: transfer RNA, 73 nt
Filed under: Bos taurus (domestic cattle)
Lineage: Eukaryota; Metazoa; Chordata; Mammalia; Artiodactyla; Bovidae
Also listed under: 5 other names
Rfam family: tRNA
About the family: Transfer RNA (tRNA) molecules are approximately 80 nucleotides in length. Their secondary structure includes four short double-helical elements and three loops (D, anti-codon, and T loops).
Source: Rfam by way of RNAcentral
UCUCUGGUGGCUCAGCUGGUAGAGAAUCUGCCUGCAAUGCAGGAGACCUGGGUUGGGAAGAUCCCCUAGAGAA